Molecule: ribosomal RNA, 585 nt
Filed under: uncultured bacterium
Lineage: Bacteria
Description: bacterial SSU rRNA
Rfam family: Bacterial small subunit ribosomal RNA
Source: RNAcentral
CCUACGGGAGGCAGCAGUGGGGAAUUUUGGACAAUGGGGGCAACCCUGAUCCAGCCAUUCCGCGUGAGUGAAGAAGGCCUUCGGGUUGUAAAGCUCUUUUGUUCGGGACGAAACGGUUAAGGCGAACACCCUUGACUACUGACGGUACCGGAAGAAUAAGCACCGGCUAACUACGUACCAGCAGCCGUGGUAAUACGUAGGGUGCGAGCGUUAAUCGGAAUUACUGGGCGUAAAGCGUGCGCAGGCGGUUCUGCAAGUCAGAUGUGAAAUCCCCGGGCUUAACCUGGGAACUGCGUUUGAAACUACGGAGCUAGAGUGCGGCAGAGGGGGGUGGAAUUCCACGUGUAGCAGUGAAAUGCGUAGAUAUGUGGAGGAACACCGAUGGCGAAGGCAGCCCCCUGGGCCGACACUGACGCUCAGGCACGAAAGCGUGGGGAGCAAACAGGAUUAGAUACCCUGGUAGUCCACGCCCUAAACUAUGUCAACUAGUUGUAGGGAAAGCAAUUUCUUGGUAACGAAGCUAACGCGUGAAGUUGACCGCCUGGGGAGUACGGUCGCAAGAUUAAAACUCAAAGGAAUUGACGG